UACGAAGGGGGCUAGCGUUGCUCGGAAUCACUGGGCGUAAAGGGCGCGUAGGCGGCCUGAUCAGUCGGGGGUGAAAGCCUGUGGCUCAACCACAGAAUGGCCUUCGAUACUGUCGGGCUUGAGACCGGAAGAGGUAAGUGGAACUGCGAGUGUAGAGGUGAAAUUCGUAGAUAUUCGCAAGAACACCAGUGGCGAAGGCGGCUUACUGGUCCGGACCUGACGCUGAGGCGCGAAAGCGUGGGGAGCAAACAGG
This 253-nucleotide ribosomal RNA is filed under the name uncultured bacterium. Its description in RNAcentral is "partial 16S ribosomal RNA". It matches the Rfam family "Bacterial small subunit ribosomal RNA", at positions 524 to 776 of the family's 1533-position model. The record is from RNAcentral.